RNAcentral lists this ribosomal RNA (468 nucleotides) under uncultured bacterium. RNAcentral describes it as "bacterial SSU rRNA". It matches the Rfam family "Bacterial small subunit ribosomal RNA", at positions 28 to 507 of the family's 1533-position model. The record is from RNAcentral.
GACGAACGCUUGCGGCGUGCCUAAGAAAUGCAAGUCGAGCGAGGUUUAGGCUUCGGCCGACGACCUAGCGGCGAACGGUCGCGUAACACGUAAGCAACCUGCCCUAAAGUUGGGGAUAGCCCGCCGAAAGGCGGAUUAAUACCGAAUGUGGAUAUGUAUUCGCAUGUAUAUAUAUCUGAAGCAGCGAUGCGCUUUAGGAUGGGCUUGCGGCCUAUCAGUUAGUUGGUGUGGGUAACGGCCUACCAAGACGACGACGGGUAGCUGGUCUGAGAGGAUGGUCAGCCGGAUUGGGACUGAGACACGGCCCAGACUCCUACGGGGGCAGCAAUUAGGAAUCUUGCGCAAUGGGCGAAAGCCUGACGCAGCGACGCCGCGUGACUGAUGAAGUCUUUCGAGAUGUAAAGGUCUUUUGUUGGGGACGAAGGAAGUUGACGGUUACCCGACGAAUAAGCCCCGGCUAACUACGUG